CCUACGGGUGGCAGCAGUGAGGAAUAUUGGUCAAUGGGCGGAAGCCUGAACCAGCCACGUAGCGUGCAGGAUGACGGCCCUACGGGUUGUAAACUGCUUUUAUACGGGAAUAACGCGCCUUACGUGUAGGGCUUUGCAUGUACCGCAUGAAUACGGAACGGCUAAUUUCGCGUCAGCAGCCGCGGUUAUACGGAAGGUCAGGGCGUUAUCCGGAUGUAUUGGGUGUAAAGGGAGCGUAGGCCGCAGUGCAAGCGUGCUGUGAAAUGUCCGGGCUCAACCCGGGCCUUGCAGCGCGAACUGGCGUGCGUGAGUCCACGGAGAGCAGGCGGAAUUCGUCGUGUAGCGGUGAAAUGCUUAGAUAUGACGAAGAACCCCGAUUGCGAAGGCAGCUUGCUGGAGCGGAACUGACGCUGAUGCUCGAAAGCGCGGGUAUCGAACAGGAUUAGAUACCCUUGUAGUC
RNAcentral lists this ribosomal RNA (460 nucleotides) under uncultured bacterium. Its description in RNAcentral is "partial 16S ribosomal RNA". It matches the Rfam family "Bacterial small subunit ribosomal RNA", at positions 338 to 795 of the family's 1533-position model. The record is from RNAcentral.